UACGUAGGGGCUAGCGUUAUCCGGAAUUACUGGGCGUAAAGGGUGCGUAGGUGGUUUCUUAAGUCAGAGGUGAAAGGCUACGGCUCAACCGUAGUAAACCUUUGAAACUGGGAAACUUGAGUGCAGGAGAGGAGAGUGGAAUUCCUAGUGUAGCGGUGAAAUGCGUAGAUAUUAGGAGGAACACCAGUUGCGAAGGCGGCUCUCUGGACUGUAACUGACGCUGAGGCACGAAAGCGUGGGGAGCAAACAGGAUUAGAUACCCGGGUAGUUCCUGAGCGGGCUGG
Molecule: ribosomal RNA, 284 nt
Filed under: uncultured prokaryote
Description: partial 16S ribosomal RNA
Rfam family: Bacterial small subunit ribosomal RNA
Source: RNAcentral